GAUAACAGUUAGAAAUGACUGCUAAUACCGCAUAAGACCACAGCACCGCAUGGUGCAGGGGUAAAAACUCCGGUGGUAUGAGAUGGACCCGCGUCUGAUUAGGUAGUUGGUGGGGUAACGGCCUACCAAGCCGACGAUCAGUAGCCGACCUGAGAGGGUGACCGGCCACAUUGGGACUGAGACACGGCCCAAACUCCUACGGGAGGCAGCAGUGGGGAAUAUUGCACAAUGGGGGAAACCCUGAUGCAGCGACGCCGCGUGAGCGAUGAAGUAUUUCGGUAUGUAAAGCUCUAUCAGCAGGGAAGAAAAUGACGGUACCUGACUAAGAAGCACCGGCUAAAUACGUGCCAGCAGCCGCGGUAAUACGUAUGGUGCAAGCGUUAUCCGGAUUUACUGGGUGUAAAGGGAGCGUAGACGGAGUGGCAAGUCUGAUGUGAAAACCCGGGGCUCAACCCCGGGACUGCAUUGGAAACUGUCAAUCUAGAGUACCGGAGAGGUAAGCGGAAUUCCUAGUGUAGCGGUGAAAUGCGUAGAUAUUAGGAGGAACACCAGUGGCGAAGGCGGCUUACUGGACGGUAACUGACGUUGAGGCUCGAAAGCGUGGGGAGCAAACAGGAUUAGAUACCCUGGUAGUCCACGCCGUAAACGAUGACUACUAGGUGUCGGGCAGCAAAGCUGUUCGGUGCCGCAGCAAACGCAAUAAGUAGUCCACCUGGGGAGUACGUUCGCAAGAAUGAAACUCAAAGGAUUUGACGGGGACCCGCACAAGCGGUGGAGCAUGUGGUUUAAUUCG
Molecule: ribosomal RNA, 793 nt
Filed under: uncultured Lachnospiraceae bacterium
Lineage: Bacteria; Bacillati; Bacillota; Clostridia; Lachnospirales; Lachnospiraceae
Description: bacterial SSU rRNA
Rfam family: Bacterial small subunit ribosomal RNA
Source: RNAcentral